Molecule: ribosomal RNA, 219 nt
Filed under: uncultured bacterium
Lineage: Bacteria
Description: partial 16S ribosomal RNA
Rfam family: Bacterial small subunit ribosomal RNA
Source: RNAcentral
UACGGAGGGUGCGAGCGUUGUCCGGAAUCACUGGGCGUAAAGGGCGCGUAGGUGGCGCGGGAAGUCAACGGUGAAAGUUCAGGGCUCAACCCUGAAUCGGCCGUCGAUACUCCCGGGCUUGAGCAGCUGUAGAGCAGGUGGAAUUCCGGGUGUAGCGGUGGAAUGCGUAGAGAUCCGGAAGAACACCGGUGGCGAAGGCGGCCUGCUGGGCAGUUGCUG